AGUUUUGGGGUGACACAGUUCAGCCCUCAGCAGGCAAUGACUGAAGUUCCGGCCGCUCUGGGCUCUCUAUCCAGCAGCUGGGUGACCUUGGACCAGUCCCCGCUUCCCUUAUCGCCAACCCCGGGAGUCAGACUAGAUCACCCUGGAUCUCUGCAGCUCCAAGGCUCUGUGGGAACCAGUAGCAGUGUCGUGUUGGGAUGCCCUACGGCACGAGUGAGGGCUUUGGCACCAGGACCACCCAUCCCUGGUGCGCUCUGGUUUCUUGAUAUUUGACAACAGACUUCGUUAGCUGUGCUGGGCAAGCUGAGCAUUUCUCCCGGGCUCUGGAAGCAACAGCAGCAGCGUCUCAGCUGGAAACAUCCUCAGUGACACGUUGUCUGGGCUUCUCCCAUCUGUUGGGUCCUGAGAUGGCAGCUCCUGAUCGUGCACUGGAGGAAGGAAGGAAGAGGUCUGGGGCCUCCUAAGCAUAACAAGGGCACUUUCUAAUCAGGGUAACUCUAUAUACAUGCGCUGUCAAAGAUCAAAGCUGGAGCAAACCAACCAGGGAAUGCAAAGCAGUCAGCAGGAACAGCAAAACCCUCACUGUGGGCGCCCAGGCAGACACACGCUGUCACAGCGGGCUUCGGCGGGCCGGGAGCCCGUCCCUACCUUUCCAGGUCCCCGGAGUCAGCCGGGGUAGCCAGGCCUCCGGAACAAGCCUGAAGCUUGCGGCCUCUUCUUUACCCUGCUGUGCGCCUCCGAGGGCAGUAGCCCUGUGGGUCAGCUGGCCCCCGAGCCCCCGGCCCAAGGGAAGAGAAGCAGGACAUCGCAACACAGAUGCGCAGGGGAGUCGUCGUGAGGGACCAGUGAGAUUCUCGAGCGUGCAGAGCCAGCGCCCAGUACAGGGCCACUGUCUGUGUGUUUAUGUUGUGCAAGCCUCUGUUGAUUCGGGGGCACACUGGUUAUCAUAUCAGCAGGGAAUUCCAUGUGUGGUUUUGUCACAAGGUGAGGCAAUCAGGGGGCGUUGUCCCUUGAUCGUCUCCACAGAGGUGGAUCCCUUCCCAGGACAAAGGGCAGGUAAA
Molecule: long non-coding RNA, 1061 nt
Filed under: Vulpes vulpes (red fox)
Lineage: Eukaryota; Metazoa; Chordata; Mammalia; Carnivora; Canidae
Description: lncRNA (ENSVVUG00000008466.1)
Source: RNAcentral